CAGUAGCCACGGUAAUACGAAGGGUGCAAGCGUUAAUCGGAAUUACUGGGCGUAAAGCGUGCGUAGGCGGUUUGUUAAGUCUGCUGUGAAAUCCCCGGGCUCAACCUGGGAAUGGCAGUGGAUACUGGCAAGCUAGAGUGUGUCAGAGGAUGGUGGAAUUCCCGGUGUAGCGGUGAAAUGCGUAGAGAUCGGGAGGAACAUCAGUGGCGAAGGCGGCCAUCUGGGACAACACUGACGCUGAGGCACGAAAGCGUGGGGAGCAAACAGGAUUAGAUACCCCAGUAGUCCCUGUCUCUUAUAC
This 301-nucleotide ribosomal RNA is filed under the name uncultured bacterium. Its description in RNAcentral is "partial 16S ribosomal RNA". It matches the Rfam family "Bacterial small subunit ribosomal RNA", at positions 509 to 807 of the family's 1533-position model. The record is from RNAcentral.